This 492-nucleotide ribosomal RNA is filed under the name uncultured bacterium. RNAcentral describes it as "partial 16S ribosomal RNA". It matches the Rfam family "Bacterial small subunit ribosomal RNA", at positions 29 to 507 of the family's 1533-position model. The record is from RNAcentral.
AGUGAACGCUGGCGGUAGGCCUAACACAUGCAAGUCGAACGGCAGCACAGUAAGAGCUUGCUCUUACGGGUGGCGAGUGGCGGACGGGUGAGGAAUACAUCGGAAUCUACUUUUUCGUGGGGGAUAACGUAGGGAAACUUACGCUAAUACCGCAUACGACCUACGGGUGAAAGCAGGGGAUCUUCGGACCUUGCGCGAUUGAAUGAGCCGAUGUCGGAUUAGCUAGUUGGCGGGGUAAAGGCCCACCAAGGCGACGAUCCGUAGCUGGUCUGAGAGGAUGAUCAGUCACACUGGAACUGAGACACGGUCCAGACUCCUACGGGAGGCAGCAGUGGGGAAUAUUGGACAAUGGGCGCAAGCCUGAUCCAGCCAUACCACGUGGGUGAAGAAGGCCUUCGGGUUGUAAAGCCCUUUUGUUGGGAAAGAAAAGCAGCAGGUUAAUACCCCGCUGUUCUGACGGUACCAAAAGAAUAAGCACCGGCUAACUUCGUG